GCCUCGGUGGUGUAAUGGUAGCACGCAGGGCUGUGGACCCUGGGGACCGGGUUCGAUUCCCGGCUGAGGCC
Molecule: transfer RNA, 71 nt
Filed under: Microcaldota archaeon
Lineage: Archaea; Nanobdellati; Microcaldota
Description: Candidatus Micrarchaeota archaeon (hot springs metagenome) tRNA-His
Rfam family: tRNA
About the family: Transfer RNA (tRNA) molecules are approximately 80 nucleotides in length.
Source: RNAcentral